AGUGAACGCUGGCGGUAGGCCUAACACAUGCAAGUCGAACGGCAGCACAGUAAGAGCUUGCUCUUACGGGUGGCGAGUGGCGGACGGGUGAGGAAUACAUCGGAAUCUACUUUUUCGUGGGGGAUAACGUAGGGAAACUUACGCUAAUACCGCAUACGACCUACGGGUGAAAGCAGGGGAUCUUCGGACCUUGCGCGAUUGAAUGAGCCGAUGUCGGAUUAGCUAGUUGGCGGGGUAAAGGCCCACCAAGGCGACGAUCCGUAGCUGGUCUGAGAGGAUGAUCAACCACACUGGAACUGAGACACGGUCCAGACUCCUACGGGAGGCAGCAGUGGGGAAUAUUGGACAAUGGGCGCAAGCCUGAUCCAGCCAUACCGCGUGGGUGAAGAAGGCCUUCGGGUUGUAAAGCCCUUUUGUUGGGAAAGAAAAGCAGCAGGUUAAUACCCCGCUGUUCUGACGGUACCCAAAGAAUAGGCACCGGCUAACUUCGUG
This 492-nucleotide ribosomal RNA is filed under the name uncultured bacterium. RNAcentral describes it as "partial 16S ribosomal RNA". It matches the Rfam family "Bacterial small subunit ribosomal RNA", at positions 29 to 507 of the family's 1533-position model. The record is from RNAcentral.